Molecule: ribosomal RNA, 730 nt
Filed under: uncultured eukaryote
Lineage: Eukaryota
Description: SSU rRNA
Rfam family: Eukaryotic small subunit ribosomal RNA
Source: RNAcentral
CGGGUGCACUGAUCCAGCCGGGCCUUUCCCUCUGUGGAACCCCAUGGCCUUCACUGGCUGUGGCGGGGAAACAGGACUUUUACUUUGAAAAAAUUAGAGUGCUCCAGGCAGGCCUAUGCUCGAAUACAUUAGCAUGGAAUAAUAGAAUAGGACGUGUGGUUCUAUUUUGUUGGUUUCUAGGACCGCCGUAAUGAUUAAUAGGGACAGUCGGGGGCAUCAGUAUUCAAUUGUCAGAGGUGAAAUUCUUGGAUCUAUUGAAGACUAACUACUGCGAAAGCAUUUGCCAAGGAUGUUUUCAUUGAUAAGGAACGAAAGUUAGGGGAUCGAAGACGAUCAGAUACCGUCGUAGUCUUAACUAUAAACUAUGCCGACUAGGGAUCGGACGAUGUUAUUCUUUGACGCGUUCGGCACCUUUCGAGAAAUCAAAGUGCUUGGGCUCCAGGGGGAGUAUGGUCGCAAGGCUGAAACUUAAAGAAAUUGACGGAAGGGCACCACCAGGGGUGGAACCUGCGGCUUAAUUUGACUCAACACGGGGAAACUCACCAGGUCCAGACACAGUGAGGAUUGACAGAUUGAGAGCUCUUUCUUGAUUCUGUGGGUGGUGGUGCAUGGCCGUUCUUAGUUGGUGGAGUGAUUUGUCUGCUUAAUUGCGAUAACGAACGAGACCUUAAACCUGCUAAAUAGCCCGUACUGCUUUGGCAGUUCGCCGGCUUCUUAGAGGGACUAUCGG